UUGCCACGUGGCAGGUGAAGUGUUGGCACCUAGGCGAUGUGUGGAGGUGAACAGAGAGGUACGCCAGAGUGUGACCUGACAGCGACGUGACGACACGCUGAUGGAGACACGAAGGCCACUCUACGCUCGCUGUUCAAUGUGGCGUGUCACGCAGCAAGGGAAGUGUUGGCACCGGCACCGAGGCGAGGUAUGGUGAACGCCGAGGCACGCAGUGAGUGCCAGGUCAUCACGCUGCUGGAGACGCGAAGACACGGACACGCUCGGUGUUCAGUAGCGAGUACCUUGUCACAGGCUAUGAUUGUUGCCAGUAGCGAUGAUGUAGUGGUGGAAGGAGAACCUGGCCGGACUGUUCUGCUGUCCCAGAAGGAAACUCCCGUUAAGAUUAUCCACGACUUUUUUAGUUAUCCUGUUGCCUCGCGCACACGCGUCCCGUGAACACCACGCAGCUGACGAGGAGAGAACCGAUCUGUCCCGCCUCACAUU
Long non-coding RNA from Scylla paramamosain (green mud crab), 483 nucleotides. RefSeq lists it as uncharacterized. The transcript is spliced from 3 exons. The record is from RefSeq and is a predicted model, not a curated record. NCBI's taxonomy places the organism in Eukaryota, Metazoa, Arthropoda, Malacostraca, Decapoda, Portunidae.